AAGUCGUAACAAGGUUUCCGUAGGUGAACCUGCGGAAGGAUCAUUAAAGAUGGGGUAUUUUACCGUGUGCAAAGGUUUGGGGGAGAAGGUGGGGGAUGGUUGGUGGGGAUUGAUAUGAUAUGAUUGGUUGAAUUUAUUUUGUUUGAUAUGUUUGACGUGGUGAUUUAUAUUACUUUGUAAUUUGUGUUAACUUGUUUGACAUGAUUUGUAAUUUAUGUUAUUUCGUCUUUCAUCAUUAUGAUAUUGUAAUUCAAUCUGUCAACUUCAAUCAUUCCAAUCGUUUCAUUCUAAUCUAUCCAAUCAUAUAUACUAUUCGUCAAAUCAUAAAAAUAAUAAUAAUUUGCGGCAAUGGAUCUCUAGGCUCUU
Molecule: unclassified non-coding RNA, 366 nt
Filed under: fungal sp.
Lineage: Eukaryota; Fungi
Description: partial internal transcribed spacer region
Rfam family: Eukaryotic small subunit ribosomal RNA (bases 1-46)
Source: RNAcentral